AGUGAACGCUGGCGGUAGACCUAACACAUGCAAGUCGAACGGCAGCACAGUAAGAGCUUGCUCUUACGGGUGGCGAGUGGCGGACGGGUGAGGAAUACAUCGGAAUCUACUUUUUCGUGGGGGAUAACGUAGGGAAACUUACGCUAAUACCGCAUACGACCUACGGGCGAAAGCAGGGGAUCUUCGGACCUUGCGCGAUUGAAUGAGCCGAUGUCGGAUUAGCUAGUUGGCGGGGUAAAGGCCCACCAAGGCGACGAUCCGUAGCUGGUCUGAGAGGAUGAUCAGCCACACUGGAACUGAGACACGGUCCAGACUCCUACGGGAGGCAGCAGUGGGGAAUAUUGGACAAUGGGCGCAAGCCUGAUCCAGCCAUACCGCGUGGGUGAAGAAGGCCUUCGGGUUGUAAAGCCCUUUUGUUGGGAAAGAAAAGCAGCAGGUUAAUACCCCGCUGUUCUGACGGUACCCAAAGAAUAAGCACCGGCUAACUUCGUG
This 492-nucleotide ribosomal RNA is filed under the name uncultured bacterium. Its description in RNAcentral is "partial 16S ribosomal RNA". It matches the Rfam family "Bacterial small subunit ribosomal RNA", at positions 29 to 507 of the family's 1533-position model. The record is from RNAcentral.